GUUGGCUAGCCAUUCACAGUUCAUUUGCAAAUUUGACACCAUCAGCUCAGGAUCAAACAAAGACGGUGAAUGGCUAGUCAACUACAAAAGCAGUUUCUCCUCCCUGGGUGUUCACACCUCAACUGCUAGAAGAGGGCUUCAUCCUCUCUGAUUGAACUAAUUUCAUUAUCCCUAGCCUGAUUCUUGCUUGCGAAUUUAUACCUGCCUCUGGAAAUUUCCACUACAUGCACCCGACGAAGUGGGUAUUCACCCACGAAAGCUUAUGCUCCUAUACAUCUGUUAGUCUAUAAGGUGCCACAGGACUCUUUGCCACUUAGCAGUGGGUUACACUUAAGAACAUAAAAUAAGAACGGCCAUCGUGGGUCAGACCAAAGGUCCAUCCAGCCCAGUAUCCUGUCCUCUGACAUUGGCCAAUGCCAGGGGCCCAAGAGGGAAUGAACAGAACAGGUAAUCACCAAGUGAUCCAUCCUUGGUCGCCCAUUCUCAGCUCCAAAUUCAAGGGUUCCAUAGCCUGCACUGGAGCAUAGGGGAUUGUUCUCUCCCCUCACCCCCUCCGUAGUCCAAAUCACAGUCUACCCUAAGUGAUUAUACCUACAUUUAAAACAAACAAACACUGAGAACACAGCAGAGAAACAGGCAGUAAAAUAAAUGAAGAAAAGCCAGUAUUUUACCAUGGUGCUCAGUCUUGGUUCAUGUCUUUCUAAAUCUUUGUAUGCUUUUCCUGGAGUUUAUUAAGCAGAUGAGAGUGCUGAUUUGAUAACAAAGAAGUUGAACAUUUUCCAUUUGUGUUGCACAUGCUGUUUGGCUGGAAAUUGCAAAGGAGUGUCUUUACCCUCUGUUUUCUGAUCUUUGUGUAUGGGUAAAGGUCAGGAAAGGCUAGAAUUUUUCUACCUCCAAGAAACAGAUCUUUAAUAUUUGUUAAUUUCCUUAUCUUGUAACAGAUAAAAAUAAUAUUGAUGUGCCAUUGUUACUUUUAUGUAUUUUAUCUCAUCUAAUUUAGCUCAGGUACUUCUAGACUUCUCUUCACUGAAGUAUCUAAUCAGCAUCUUAUGCCUUGAGGAGAACCUGUAGCCCUUCUCCACUUAAAUACAUUUAUUUUUUGACUCCAGCAGUGUAGGCAGAAACUCUCAGCAAACUGAACAGAGUCAAGUGAUUCUUUGCCUGCAGAGACCCCUCCCGUAAUUCUGAUGUUUUUGACAGCAGAUAAUUGUCAAGUUGUUUCAGACAUGUUUCCAAGAUUAGAUGAAAAACUAGUGUAUUAUUUUGGUAUGUAAUUCUGUUGUUCCCUAACCUUCUCCUCUCCCACCCCCCAGCAACUAUCGGGUGUUCUCAUCUGAUCUCAUUUGGUCAGCAACGAAGUUAUUAACCUUGCCACAUAAAUUUUUAAUUCUUUCCUCUAAAAUGGACAUGGAGAAUAUUAGUUGUUUAGCUGUUGACACAUUUUCUUGUACUACUUCUUUUUUUUUUCUUCUGGUUUCUAUGUCUGUUUUUCUAAAGUUUACUCCUAUAUCUCUGUCUCUGGUAGUAUUAACCUAGCUUUAAAGAAAUCAGGCUUUUCUUGUUUCUUUGCUGGGCUAUUUUUGAUUAGCUUUUUGCUGCUUCAUUAUUAGUGCCUUAGAGGCACUUGGUAUCUUACCUAUUUAAUUCAAUCUAUUCUGUUGCGCUUUUGUCUGUUUCCCCCUUCAUAAUUCUUUAUCACUUUUACAGCUAGUUAAAAUAUUUCAAAAUUUUUGAAGGGGGGAGAAAAGGGUGUGUGUGUGGAAAAUGUAUAAUGAAUCUUUUUUUGCAGGCCCCUCCCCUGACUCUGUAACCUACUUUGGAACUUGUAGCAUUUUUAAAAAAAAAUUGAAUUUCAAAAAGGGGGAAUUGUUUCCAUAUGUAAAAAAACAAACCAAACCAAAAUAAUGAAAAUGCCCCUCCCCCCUUUUUAUAAUCUAUUCUACUUACUAUAGUUAACACAUUUCUACAUAACUUUUAGAUCUAUGAAGGGAAUGGGCACAUUGAUAAUCUGACCCAUGAGACAACAAAAUAAUCUUUCAGGAAACUGUCUGCUUGUUUUAGGUGAAAACAUUCUCUGCUUCCCUGAUCUUAGCUGACAACCCCUUCAGUGCAAUUGGAUCAGAAUACCUUUCAAAGGAUCAGAUUGUGAACCCCUCAUACCAGCUUCACUCACCCAGAACUCUAAAACCCAGUGAUUCACUGCAGAGUCAACAAAAGCCAUCAAUAUGCUCAUUAUCCAAACCAGGAACCAACUAAUAUAGAAGGCGGUGGAAUCUUGAUUAUAAUAAACAGUGAGGACAGUUCUCAGCAAAAGGGAGGAAAAAGAGGGGACUUGAGGAGCAAACAUUAGAGUCAGAAAUUCUGCUAGAGGUUAUCAUGAGGAUAACCCAUUCGACACUGUACUUGGCCAAGAGUGUAUGGAAUGUGCCAGUGCAUGGAUCUCCAACAUUGAGUAAUUCCGUAUAAAAAAGGAGACCGUCCAUAAGGGUGAGCAGAUGAACUGCUGAUAAACACUGUGAAAUGGAGCAGAUGCAGGAGUCACACCAAGGAUUCUUUAGUUCUAAUAUUUACUCCCCAGGAGGAGACAGAAUUAACUUGAAUUCUACACCUUCGAAACUGCAUAGGUAUGAAAUGCAAUGAUAACAUUAUGAAACUGAGUCACCAGGGAUGCUGCUAUGGAAGGAGCUGGAUAUUGCUUUAAGAA
Long non-coding RNA from Dermochelys coriacea (leatherback sea turtle), 2704 nucleotides. RefSeq lists it as uncharacterized. NCBI's taxonomy places the organism in Eukaryota, Metazoa, Chordata, Testudines, Dermochelyidae. The record is from RefSeq and is a predicted model, not a curated record. The transcript is spliced from 4 exons.